Long non-coding RNA from Lycium barbarum (goji berry), 2002 nucleotides. RefSeq lists it as uncharacterized. The record is from RefSeq and is a predicted model, not a curated record. Lineage: Eukaryota; Viridiplantae; Streptophyta; Magnoliopsida; Solanales; Solanaceae. The transcript has 3 exons.
CAACAAAAACAUAUACACACCAAAUGGACCCUAUCUCUCUUCAUUUGUUGAAGAGGAGGGUUUUCUCUCCAAACCCUAAGCGCCGCCUUGAGUUCUUUCUCUCUCUCGCGUCAUCAAUGGCCAAAAAUGACAUGUUUACAGUGUACUACGCUUUAUGCAACUUGUGGUUCAACCAUUUGGGGCAAGCAAUUAAUGCUCGCCUCACUUUUUCCACCAUGUUACAACCAAACGAGGAAACUCUACAACGUGGGCCACUUGGGCCAAGUUCAUUGCGAGCCACAGUGUUGGCCAGAGGCCGAACAUCUUUUUUUCCACAGAGUCCGGAUAGAAUCUUUGAAGGCCCAAUCAUGGGUGAAAAUGGUUAACUGGUGGGCUCGGUAGGCCCACCAGCCGAAUUUCCUCUUUAUUUUCGCUUAUGUAUGUAUAUGUAUUUGUAAAAUAAUGAUGGUAAAUAUUGAAAACCAAAUGGUUAGAACUUAGGCAUCUUAGGUAAACGAUGCCUAUAUAAUUUAGAAUGGAUAGGAACCCAAACACACUUGCAAUUAGGACCCAUCCAAAAGAUAAGUGAUUAUAACUUUAUAUUUUUGAAAUAAUAAUUACAAAAAAAAAGUGGUUCCUUUUGUGUGAAAACAAAAACGAUAUAUAUAUAUAUAUAUAUAUAUAUAUAGAGAGAGAGAGAGAGGGAGAGGGAGAGUAGGAUGUUACACAUGUUUGAAAAGGAACUGAUAUUUUUGAUUUGAAAAUUUUGAAGGAUGAACUGUUUUCUUUAGCAAAGAAGAGACAUAAACAUUUUUAUCCAAUUAGAGAAUUUAUGAAACGAAACAAAAAGAUAGUGGUUGGAAGAGAAGCUUUUGGACAAGUUCAAUUAAUUUUCUAAAACCUUUUUGGUCUAAACCCACUCAGUGAGAUAAAACAAAGGGAAAAUCAUUUAGACUUUAGUUUGAGGAAAGGAUUGAACGGGGUAUGGUUGGCAUUCAAUGUAAGUAAUGGAUAAAUGACUCGUAUUCAAAAGAGAUACUUUUUUCAAAAAACAUGUAUAAAUUACGUGGCAUUUUUUUUUUUACAAAAAGACAUAUACUUGGAACUCUUUUUCAAGGACAAAAGGGACAUAACAUAUGGACCAAAAAUAAGUUGAACUCUACUCAACGGAAAUCUUGGGUGUGAUUUGGUUCGAAAAUAAAAUGACAACUUUAAACCUUGUAUGCUUAUUUUCCAAGGAAAAAUCUGACUCUUUUCAUCUAUAACAAAAUCUAACUCGUAUGUAUAUUUGGUUCGGUUCUCAAUGCACUCGGAUGUAUUUUGGGACUUGGGUUGGGAAGUUAAAGUUGAGGUAUCGGGGGUUAACUCAGUCAACGUAACCUCUAUUCGGAAUUUUGAGGCCACGAGCGUGUUUUUAUGUGUGUCUGUGUAUGUGGUUUGUGAGCAGAUGGCCUCGGGAGUUAGUCGGAAGUUCGGGUUGAGUUGUGAAAUAGGAAUAGUUUUUUGGUGUCUGUUGCCUGCCUUGGUGGCACCAGCAUCGCAGCAGCGGUGUCGCUAUAGCAGUCACCCUACCGCUGAAGCGGUUUGUGCCGUUUAGGCAUGACCGCUGGAGCAGUAAUAUUGUCGCAGAAGCGGGUGACAGGCAGUUAGUUCAUUAAAUAAAGUGUUAAAUGCCUUAAGUCCCUCAUUUAUUACCAUUCCGAAAAUUGAGCUCUUGGGAACUAUUCUACAGGAUUAUUGGAGAAGAUUCAUGCUGAAUUCCAGGUUGGAUCUACCUCCGUCUCUCGUAGCUGAUAGUCACUAUCAAGACUGCUUAGAGUCUACAGGGUGAGCACGAGAUGUCCGCUACCUUGAAGAUUUCUCUUAAUUAUGUCUUACUUUCCAUUCUGAGACAUAUCCAGGCUUGAUGUAUUCUUAUAUUCUAGACUUGUAUAUUUCUAGCUAGUUGCUCUUGUAUGGAUUAGACCAGAAUUUAGGGUGUAUUUUCUUAUUUUCGCUCUUAUUCUAUAUUAUUAUCGUCAGA